Molecule: long non-coding RNA, 1182 nt
Filed under: Oryctolagus cuniculus (rabbit)
Lineage: Eukaryota; Metazoa; Chordata; Mammalia; Lagomorpha; Leporidae
Description: lncRNA (ENSOCUG00000029930.1)
Source: RNAcentral
AUGGAGUCCACACGGAGUCCACACGGAACCACAGAGAGUCCACACGGAACCACAGAGAGUCCACACAGAACCACAGGGAGUCCACAGAGAGCCCACACAGAGCCACAUGGAGUUGACACGGAGCCUAUACUGAUCCCUCAUGGAGCCCACACAGAGCCACAGGGAGCACACAUGGAGUCCCACAGAACCCACAUGGAGCCCACACAGAGCCCCACAAAGCCCACACGGAGCACACAUAGAACCCUCAUGGAGCCCACACGGAGCCCCACGGAGACCACGUGGAGCCACACAGAGCACACAUGGAGCCCACAUGGAGUCCACAUGGAGGCCACACCAAGCCUACAUGGAGCCCCGCAGUGCCCACAUGAGUACACACACAGAGCCCCAGAGAGCACACAUGGGACCCCCUCAGAGCCCCACAGAGCCCACAUAGUCCCACAGAGCACACAGAGCCCCAGAGAGCACACACGGGACCCCCUCAGAGCCCCACGGAGCCCAUACAGAGUACACAGAGCACACAGAGCCCCAGAGAGCACACACGGGACCCCCCUCAGAGCCCCACGGAGCCUCACGGCUGGGGCGUCAGUGACACGGGGCGCCCCAUGCCCGGUCAGACCCCAAGGCAGGAGAUGCACCUACAGCUGCCCAGCCCGGCGGCUGCAGACGUGGGGUCCCGCCUCCCAGUGCCUUGUGGGAUCACGUUUCCUGCCCCGUGUCUUCCCACCCAGGGCCUGGCAUGCUGACAUCUCCACACAGGGAGCCACGGAUAGGGGGGGACCCCUGUCCACGUGGGGGCAGCCGGGGCAGAUAGCGGCCGCCGAUGGGCACUCUGCUUCUCCUCUUGGCCCUGACCUGCCUGGAGUGCCCCCUUUAGAGUGGACUCAGGACCCCUCCCUGCUGUGGCCCCCACCGCCAGGCUGCCCACUCCCGGGCACGUCCUCAGGACCCCUCCCUGCUGUGGCCCCCACCGCCAGGCUGCCCACUCCCGGGCACGGCCUCGAUGACUGUUCUGCUUGCCCGGUGCCCGCCGACACCGCAGCGGGUUCCCCGCUCCCUCCUACUCACUCUGACGCUCCAGACUGGACGACCCUGGGAUCAGAGCCCAAACUAACCAUUCGUCUACCCACUGGGCAGUCACCGAUGGGGGGCCCGUGCAUGCUGGACACACAGGUUCACGCAUAG